RNAcentral lists this ribosomal RNA (355 nucleotides) under uncultured Anoxybacillus sp. RNAcentral's name for it is "bacterial SSU rRNA". It matches the Rfam family "Bacterial small subunit ribosomal RNA", at positions 1027 to 1382 of the family's 1533-position model. The record is from RNAcentral. Lineage: Bacteria; Bacillati; Bacillota; Bacilli; Caryophanales; Anoxybacillaceae.
CAGGGUGACAGGUGGUGCAUGGUUGUCGUCAGCUCGUGUCGUGAGAUGUUGGGUUAAGUCCCGCAACGAGCGCAACCCUCGACCUUAGUUGCCAGCAUUCAGUUGGGCACUCUAAGGUGACUGCCGGCUAAAAGUCGGAGGAAGGUGGGGAUGACGUCAAAUCACCAUGCCCCUUAUGACCUGGGCUACACACGUGCUACAAUGGGCGGUACAAAGGGUCGCGAACCCGCGAGGGGGAGCCAAUCCCAAAAAGCCGCUCUCAGUUCGGAUUGCAGGCUGCAACUCGCCUGCAUGAAGCCGGAAUCGCUAGUAAUCGCGGAUCAGCAUGCCGCGGUCGAAUACGUUCCCGGGCCUU